Molecule: ribosomal RNA, 750 nt
Filed under: uncultured Bacteroidales bacterium
Lineage: Bacteria; Pseudomonadati; Bacteroidota; Bacteroidia; Bacteroidales
Description: bacterial SSU rRNA
Rfam family: Bacterial small subunit ribosomal RNA
Source: RNAcentral
AUGAACGCUAGCUACAGGCUUAACACAUGCAAGUCGAGGGGCAGCAUUUUUAUAGCAAUAUAAAAGAUGGCGACCGGCGCACGGGUGAGUAACACGUAUCCAACCUGCCGAUAACUCGGGGAUAACCCUUCGAAAGAAGGCCUAAUACCCGAUGGCAUAUCCCUUCCGCCUGGUGGGGAUAUUAAAGAACUUCGGUUAUCGAUGGGGAUGCGCUCCAUUAGCUUGUUGGCGGGGUAACGGCCCACCAAGGCUUCGAUGGAUAGGGGUUCUGAGAGGAAGGUCCCCCACAUUGGAACUGAGACACGGUCCAAACUCCUACGGGAGGCAGCAGUGAGGAAUAUUGGUCAAUGGACGAGAGUCUGAACCAGCCAAGUAGCGUGAAGGAUGAAGGUCCUAUGGAUUGUAAACUUCUUUUAUACGGGAAUAAAGUGCAGUAUGCAUACUGUUUUGUAUGUACCGUAUGAAUAAGGAUCGGCUAACUCCGUGCCAGCAGCCGCGGUAAUACGGAGGAUCCGAGCGUUAUCCGGAUUUAUUGGGUUUAAAGGGAGCGUAGGCGGAUGCUUAAGUCAGUUGUGAAAGUUUGCGGCUCAACCGUAAAAUUGCAGUUGAUACUGGGCGUCUUGAGUACAGUAGAGGCAGGCGGAAUUCGUGGUGUAGCGGUGAAAUGCUUAGAUAUCACGAAGAACUCCGAUUGCGAAGGCAGCCUGCUGGACUGUCACUGACGCUGAUGCUCGAAAGUGUGGGUAUCAA